RNAcentral lists this ribosomal RNA (369 nucleotides) under uncultured Desulfobulbus sp. RNAcentral describes it as "bacterial SSU rRNA". It matches the Rfam family "Bacterial small subunit ribosomal RNA", at positions 1016 to 1382 of the family's 1533-position model. Lineage: Bacteria; Pseudomonadati; Thermodesulfobacteriota; Desulfobulbia; Desulfobulbales; Desulfobulbaceae. The record is from RNAcentral.
UCCAUCUGGAAGAAUCUGGAGACAGGUGCUGCACGGCUGUCGUCAGCUCGUGUCGUGAGAUGUUGGGUUAAGUCCCGCAACGAGCGCAACCCUUGCCUUUAGUUGCCAGCAGUUCGGCUGGGCACUCUAAAGGGACUGCCGGUGUUAAACCGGAGGAAGGUGGGGAUGACGUCAAGUCCUCAUGGCCUUUAUGACCAGGGCUACACACGUACUACAAUGGCCGAUACAAAGGGCAGCGACACUGCGAGGUGAAGCCAAUCCCGUAAAAUCGGUCUCAGUCCGGAUUGGAGUCUGCAACUCGACUCCAUGAAGUUGGAAUCGCUAGUAAUUGUGGAUCAGCAUGCCACGGUGAAUACGUUCCCGGGCCUU